This 467-nucleotide ribosomal RNA is filed under the name uncultured bacterium. Its description in RNAcentral is "partial 16S ribosomal RNA". It matches the Rfam family "Bacterial small subunit ribosomal RNA", at positions 28 to 507 of the family's 1533-position model. The record is from RNAcentral.
GAUGAACGCUGGCGGCGUGCUUAACACUUGCAAGUCGAACGGAAAGGCCCAAGCUUGCUUGGGUACUCGAGUGGCGAACGGGUGAGUAACACGUGGGUGAUCUGCCCUGCACUUCGGGAUAAGCCUGGGAAACUGGGUCUAAUACCGGAUAGGACGAUGGUUUGGAUGCCAUUGUGGAAAGUUUUUUCGGUGUGGGAUGAGCUCGCGGCCUAUCAGCUUGUUGGUGGGGUAAUGGCCUACCAAGGCGUCGACGGGUAGCCGGCCUGAGAGGGUGUACGGCCACAUUGGGACUGAGAUACGGCCCAGACUCCUACGGGAGGCAGCAGUGGGGAAUAUUGCACAAUGGGCGCAAGCCUGAUGCAGCGACGCCGCGUGGGGGAUGACGGCCUUCGGGUUGUAAACUCCUUUCGCUAGGGACGAAGCGUUUUGUGACGGUACCUGGAGAAGAAGCACCGGCUAACUACGUG